Molecule: non-coding RNA, 29 nt
Filed under: Mus musculus (house mouse)
Lineage: Eukaryota; Metazoa; Chordata; Mammalia; Rodentia; Muridae
Source: RNAcentral
UAGAUAGGAUUUAAGGAUGGCUCCCGGGA